RNA transcript from Chenopodium quinoa (quinoa), 2481 nucleotides. It is a transcript of the gene named rop guanine nucleotide exchange factor 1-like, with no coding region annotated. The transcript has 6 exons. The record is from RefSeq and is a predicted model, not a curated record. NCBI's taxonomy places the organism in Eukaryota, Viridiplantae, Streptophyta, Magnoliopsida, Caryophyllales, Amaranthaceae.
CAUCCUUCCGCAACAACAACCAUCACCAUCCCCUCCCUUUCAAUCCACAAUGCAAUAACAGAUCUCCACCAUUCAAACCUUCAUUUCCAGAUUCAAUCAUCAAUGGGUAGUGUUUCUUCAGAAGACGACCAACAAAGCGAUAGAGGUGGUGGUAGCUACUGUUUAAGUGCAGAUGUUAGUGAAUCUGAAAGUUCUAGUAGUUUCUCUCUCCUUCGCUUUGACCCUGAUGCUGCUCCUUCUACCUCUACCUCUUCCCCUGCUCUUCGACACCCCGGAAACUUCAACUUCGCCGCUACUCAUUUCGCUUUUCCGGUUAUCUCCGGUCGAGACGCCGUUCUUUGGGAUGAUAUCAAACUCCCUCAAUCCAACGACUCUGAUUUUUCCGAGGUAGAGUUGAUGAAAGAGAGAUUUGCAAAGUUGUUGUUGGGAGAGGACAUGUCUGGUGGUGGAAAGGGUGUCUGCACUGCUCUUGCUAUCUCAAAUGCAAUUACCAAUCUUGCUGCUACUGUUUUUGGGGAGUUAUGGAGAUUGGAGCCGUUAGCGUCGCAGAGGAAGAAGAUGUGGUGCAGAGAAAUGGAAUGGUUGUUAUGUGUGAGUGACUCAAUUGUUGAAUUAGUCCCAUCGGUACAGGAGUUUCCUGGUGGGGGUUCGUUUGAGGUCAUGGCAACGAGGCCGAGGUCGGAUUUGUAUGUGAAUCUGCCUGCUCUUAAGAAAUUGGAUGCAAUGCUGCUUAGCAUGCUUGAAGGUUUUAAGGAGACUGAGUUUUCGUAUGCUGACCGAGAGAGUGAUGAUCGGGAUCCUCUUAAAACGGCGGUGUCUAAUGGUCGGCCGUCUGUUCGGCAGGAGGAGAAGUGGUGGUUGCCGUGUCCAAAAGUUCCGCCUCGUGGGUUGUCUGAGGAUGCUAGGAAGAGGUUGCAGCAGUGUAGGGAUUGUACUAAUCAGAUUCUCAAGGCUGCUAUGGCUAUUAAUACCAGUGUCAUUGCUGAGAUGGAGAUUCCUGACGUUUAUUUGGAGUCUUUGCCUAAGAACGGAAAAGAUUGUCUAGGAGAGGUCAUAUACCGCUACGUAACUGCUGAGCUGUUCACACCUGAUUGCCUACUUGAUUGCCUUGACUUGUCUUCGGAACAUCAAAUCUUGGAAGUUGCCAAUAGGAUCGAGGCAUCGGUUCAUGUCUGGAGAUUGAAAGAUCAGAAAAGACUUGCAGGUCAGUCUAGAAGUAAACGAGCAACUUGGGGUAGCAAGGUCAAAGGUCUUGUAUCCGAUAAUGACAAGAAUCAAGUUCUUGCACGACGUGCUGAAACGCUUUUGAGGUUCCUGAAGCUUCGGUUCCCUGUACUUCCACAAACAGCUCUAGAUAUGAGCAAGAUACAGUUUAACAAGGAUGUUGGGCAAGCAAUACUAGAAAGCUACUCAAGAGUUUUGGAGAGCUUAGCAUUUAACAUCAUGGCUAGAAUAGAUGAUUUAUUAUUUGUGGACGAUGCUGUAAAACAAUCAGCUUCAGAGUCCAAAUCGCUCUUCUGUAGAGGAGGUUUUGGCGGUCUCCCAAUCCAAAAACGUAUGUCACCUAGCCCCUUCUCUAUUCAGCAUACUCCUUAUGGCUCACCAUUUGCUACCCCAAGCUUCUGUUUCUCCCCUGCUGCCGGAGGAAGUCCUAGAUCACUUUCCACCCUCAGCAAAAUGAACCUUAAAGCAGGAGAAGAGGAUGUGAAAGUUGAUAAAACACUGGCAGAAGAAUUUGAGAGGAUCUGGGCACAUCCAGGGAAUCUGAGUGCGAGGAAAGCACCUGGAGAUGCUCCUGAGAGAGACUGAUGAUAACAAUACUUAAGAGGGCACCUUCCCAGAACAGCUAAAUAUAACUUCUCUGUAAAUUCUCUAGCAACAGAUCAUCUGUGCAGGGCUGGUAAGGAUUGUCAUCUAGAAGAAGUUCCAUUUGGUGAAUUUGGUUCGGGUGCAGAGCUGUUGUGAGUUAUUUGGUUUAGUAAUCGAUCAAUUUAAGCCAAUGUGCUGACUGUUGGGGACUAUUCCAGAUUUAAGCUGAUUAGUUUAUCACGAUACAAUCUUGUUUGGUCAGCUAGGGUCAAUUUUGAUACGAGUUAUGUAAUCGUGGAUUAUUCGAUUGGGCAAUCAAGUAUGAGUCUAUUUGUCAUGUACGGAGUAAUACGUAUGAUACAACCAUUAGCCGCAUUGAUCUUUUGCAAUGGCUUAAAUCAGGUCAUGUAAUAUGGAUACAAAGUUUCAGUGAGUUUGUUUGGGUAGUGCAAGCCUUUGUAAUGAUCUUUACAAGCAAUUUCGUUGCUUCUGCUAUUCCUGAACUCCUAUUUCCUGUUAGCACUGUCUUAUGGAUGUACACUCCCUCGUCAAUACUCAGUGCUUCAAGUCCUCAACUAGAUGAAAUUCACUAUGAUACCAAUAUAUCUCCAAUAGCACUAAGCUUAGCUAAAUAUGUAGUACAGACUACACACUUGUACAAUAUAUCAAUGA